AUGGAAAUAACUCUAUCUAAUCCCGGGCAAUCUCUACUAUCAAAUAUAUCUCUAACAUCCCCCUGCAGUCGUAGCGGUAGCGUUGCGAACAACAAGAGCGUCGGGGACGGUCAGACUGGAGAGAAUAGCAGCCGACGGCUGACAUCCCCCGCAGUCGUAGCGGGAGCGUCGCGGACGGUGUCGCGUUGCGGACGCGUUGACUAUAGAGGAAGCCGACGAGUUGCUCAAGCGGAUGAUAACCCUUUGUGCCGAUGUCGAGGUAGCCGAGAGCGUAGGGUGGUGCAGCCGUGGUUGAGGUAG
RNAcentral lists this ribosomal RNA (300 nucleotides) under Triticum aestivum (bread wheat). RNAcentral describes it as "partial small subunit ribosomal RNA". Lineage: Eukaryota; Viridiplantae; Streptophyta; Magnoliopsida; Poales; Poaceae. The record is from RNAcentral.